This 253-nucleotide ribosomal RNA is filed under the name uncultured bacterium. Its description in RNAcentral is "partial 16S ribosomal RNA". It matches the Rfam family "Bacterial small subunit ribosomal RNA", at positions 524 to 776 of the family's 1533-position model. The record is from RNAcentral.
GACAGAGGGUGCAAACGUUGUUCGGAAUUACUGGGCGUAAAGCGCGUGUAGGUGGCGAGGCAAGUCGGGUGUGAAAGCCCUGGGCUCAACCCAAGAAGUGCACUCGAUACUGCCUAGCUAGAGUCCCGGAGAGGUUGGUGGAACUCUCGGUGUAGAGGUGAAAUUCGUAGAUAUUCGGAAGAACACCAGUGGCGAAGGCGACUUACUGGACACAUAUUGACGCUGAGGUGCGAAAGCGUGGGGAGCAAACAGG